GAAUAUUGGACAAUGGGGGGAACCCUGAUCCAGCCAUGCCGCGUGUGUGAAGAAGGCCUUUUGGUUGUAAAGCACUUUAAGCGAGGAGGAGGCUCCUCUAGGUAAUACCUAGAGAUAGUGGCCGUUACUCGCAGAAUAAGCCCCGGGUAACUCUGUGCCAUCAGCCGCGGUAAUACAGAGGUGGCAAGCGUUAAUCGGAUUUACUGGGCGUCAAGCGCGCGUAGGUGGCCAAUUAAGUCAAAGGUGAAAUCCCCGAGCUUAACUUGGGAAUUGCAUUCGAUACUGGUUGGCUAGAGUAUGGGAGAGGAUGGUAGAAUUCCAGGUGUAGCGGUGAAAUGCGUAGAGAUCUGGAGGAAUACCGAUGGCGAAGGCAGCCAUCUGGCCUAAUACUGACACUGAGGUGCGAAAGCAUGGGGAGCAAACAG
RNAcentral lists this ribosomal RNA (425 nucleotides) under uncultured bacterium. RNAcentral describes it as "bacterial SSU rRNA". It matches the Rfam family "Bacterial small subunit ribosomal RNA", at positions 359 to 775 of the family's 1533-position model. The record is from RNAcentral.